CAGGGGAACAUUUCAUUAAUAGUUUCCGUUGUGGUUUUGCAUUGGAUAUUUUGUAUUCCAUGUUCUCAUUAGAUGUUGGGGUGGUCCUCAUUUGGGAACCAAACUAGGGGAGUUUCGAACAAGCAAACGAACAGGGAAAAACGAAUAUUACCGAACCAAGUGAUGGGGGCACUCCUUCACACUAUUACAUAAAUAAUCCUAGCAGAACAAAG
Pelobates cultripes (western spadefoot toad) is the source of this 212-nucleotide non-coding RNA. Lineage: Eukaryota; Metazoa; Chordata; Amphibia; Anura; Pelobatidae. The record is from the annotation of a GenBank genome assembly.